RNAcentral lists this ribosomal RNA (554 nucleotides) under Massilia suwonensis. RNAcentral's name for it is "bacterial SSU rRNA". It matches the Rfam family "Bacterial small subunit ribosomal RNA", at positions 331 to 878 of the family's 1533-position model. Lineage: Bacteria; Pseudomonadati; Pseudomonadota; Betaproteobacteria; Burkholderiales; Oxalobacteraceae. The record is from RNAcentral.
UGGGGGCCCUACGGGAGGCAGCAGUGGGGAAUUUUGGACAAUGGGCGCAAGCCUGAUCCAGCAAUGCCGCGUGAGUGAAGAAGGCCUUCGGGUUGUAAAGCUCUUUUGUCAGGGAAGAAACGGUAGGGGCUAAUAUCCUUUGCUAAUGACGGUACCUGAAGAAUAAGCACCGGCUAACUACGUGCCAGCAGCCGCGGUAAUACGUAGGGUGCAAGCGUUAAUCGGAAUUACUGGGCGUAAAGCGUGCGCAGGCGGUUUUGUAAGUCUGACGUGAAAGCCCCGGGCUCAACCUGGGAAUUGCGUUGGAGACUGCAAGGCUUGAAUCUGGCAGAGGGGGGUAGAAUUCCACGUGUAGCAGUGAAAUGCGUAGAGAUGUGGAGGAACACCGAUGGCGAAGGCAGCCCCCUGGGUCAAGAUUGACGCUCAUGCACGAAAGCGUGGGGAGCAAACAGGAUUAGAUACCCUGGUAGUCCACGCCCUAAACGAUGUCUACUAGUUGUCGGGUCUUAAUUGACUUGGUAACGCAGCUAACGCGUGAAGUAGACCGCGCGCGA